AAAAACAAAAGAGAAAGCUGGGAGAGCGUGGCUAGGACACAGUGAAGGUGUGCCAGAUGGAGCAGCCAACGAGAAUAAAGGUCCAUGGCAAGAGGAGAGAAAUCAGAUGGUGUCUCAGCGCUCACAUCAGCUUUCAGCCACCACGAUCAAGAAGGCAGGUGCAGGUCAAAGAGGCAUUAACAGGCACCACAGAAGCAGGGCCAAUCCCUAGCAAAAUCAUAAAUUAUGUUGUAGCGAGAACACCUUUCCAUCUUUCUGGAGAAAGCCCCUCUUUCACCUCACACCACUUCUUGUAACCCUAGGUUUCCCCAAAACCCUUGAUUUGCUCAAGAGAUCUCAUCACUGCUCUCCACCAGGUUCCCCACCUCCAGAUAAGGAAGAAGCUCUCCUGUGUGUAGGCUCAUCCCCUCACUGCUCGAAUCUCAAACUGCUCAGGAAACCGGUCAGUGCACUAUAGGAGUGACUUCAUGCGGUUUCUCAAACUUUCUUUGCAUCUCCUGGUAAAUAAUGCAAGCUAAGAUCCGUGAUGCGAAUUCCUUGCUGGACUCCUCAUCGUAACUGGCAUUCUGAAGACCUGUGUGGAAUGGAGAAAAGCGCUUUAGAACCCAGGCAGCACCAUGUGUUCCUAUCUUUGUGAAACAGACAGGCUUCAGAAGGCAGAGAUGUACCUGUAUUUACCCAGAGAGACCUAGCACAGGCUUUGGCAAAAAAAAAAAAAAAAAAGAUACCCAAUUUGCAUGAGCCUCUUAGAUUAUCCAAGACACCCUAUUUCUGGUUGGGAGUAUGAAGUAUGAUCUCCUGAACUUUUGCCUUAUCCUCCCUUUCCCCAGACCCUGGACUGCUCUCAGAAGUUAUGCUGGAAACACAUACACAUCAAAGACUCGACCAGGGCUAAGACAACCCUGCCCAGCCCCAAGGGCUGCUGGUUUACCUUUUGUGAGAGAAGUAAAAGGAUAUUAAAAAUGCUUCUUCUCUUUUCUCUUCUUCCAGAGUGGUGAGAUUUUAAAACUGAACAGGUUUAUGUUUUAAGGAUUUGGUGGGGUCUGAAAAGAGUAGAAAUAACAGUCAGUAAGAAAUACCUGGGUGAUCAGACCUGGUAGGUUAACGUUUAUCCUUGAGAGAUGUAGGGGAUACGUGAGGACUCUACACUGUCGUGUGAUGAAAAAGGCAAGAUCUGGGAACAAAAAGUACUAAUGAUGAAUAAAGACAAGGUACUUGGCCCGAGCA
This 1227-nucleotide long non-coding RNA is filed under the name Ursus maritimus (polar bear). Its description in RNAcentral is "lncRNA (ENSUMAG00000007959.1)". The record is from RNAcentral. Lineage: Eukaryota; Metazoa; Chordata; Mammalia; Carnivora; Ursidae.